RNAcentral lists this ribosomal RNA (253 nucleotides) under uncultured bacterium. RNAcentral describes it as "partial 16S ribosomal RNA". It matches the Rfam family "Bacterial small subunit ribosomal RNA", at positions 524 to 776 of the family's 1533-position model. The record is from RNAcentral.
UACAGAGGUCUCGAGCGUUGUUCGGAUUCAUUGGGCGUAAAGGGUGCGUAGGUGGCUAGGUAAGUCGGAUGUGAAAUCUCGGGGCUCAACCCCGAAACUGCAUUCGAUACUGCUUGGCUUGAGUACUGGAGAGGAGAUUGGAAUUUACGGUGUAGCAGUGAAAUGCGUAGAUAUCGUAAGGAAGACCAGUGGCGAAGGCGGAUCUCUGGACAGUUACUGACACUGAGGCACGAAGGCCAGGGGAGCAAACGGG